CGGCGAGGGGCAGACAGCAAGCUCCUUCUGAAUUCCCCCAGGGCAGAAAUGCAGCAAGGGUAGGAGGUUGAGCAGCUGGUUUGUUUCCUCGCUUUUU
This 97-nucleotide signal recognition particle RNA is filed under the name Bacteroidia bacterium. RNAcentral describes it as "signal recognition particle sRNA small type". It matches the Rfam family "Bacterial small signal recognition particle RNA". Rfam says of the family: The signal recognition particle (SRP) is a universally conserved ribonucleoprotein involved in the co-translational targeting of proteins to membranes. Archaeal SRP consists of a 7S RNA and homologues of the eukaryotic SRP19 and SRP54 proteins. RNAcentral also lists the same sequence under 1 other name. The record is from RNAcentral. Lineage: Bacteria; Pseudomonadati; Bacteroidota; Bacteroidia.